This 159-nucleotide ribosomal RNA is filed under the name Phyllostachys edulis (moso bamboo). RNAcentral's name for it is "5.8S ribosomal RNA". It matches the Rfam family "5.8S ribosomal RNA". Rfam says of the family: 5.8S ribosomal RNA (5.8S rRNA) is a component of the large subunit of the eukaryotic ribosome. It is transcribed by RNA polymerase I as part of the 45S precursor that also contains 18S and 28S rRNA. Lineage: Eukaryota; Viridiplantae; Streptophyta; Magnoliopsida; Poales; Poaceae. The record is from RNAcentral.
ACACGACUCUCGGCAACGGAUAUCUCGGCUCUCGCAUCGAUGAAGAACGUAGCGAAAUGCGAUACCUGGUGUGAAUUGCAGAAUCCCGCGAACCAUCGAGUCUUUGAACGCAAGUUGCGCCCGAGGCCCUCCGGCCGAGGGCACGCCUGCCUGGGCGUC